UCUGCCAGUUGCACAGAGCAUUGUUCACGGAUUUUCCGAGCCUGAUGGAUUUACAGUGAUAGUCGGCUACCUGGGGAC
Non-coding RNA from Procavia capensis (Cape rock hyrax), 78 nucleotides. Lineage: Eukaryota; Metazoa; Chordata; Mammalia; Hyracoidea; Procaviidae. The record is from Rfam.